This 266-nucleotide unclassified non-coding RNA is filed under the name Hevea brasiliensis (rubber tree). Lineage: Eukaryota; Viridiplantae; Streptophyta; Magnoliopsida; Malpighiales; Euphorbiaceae. The record is from RNAcentral.
AAACAAACUAAACUGUGAUUAGUUUCAUUUGAUUUGGUUUUUACAUAUAAAUAGUUUGGCUUGAAUUGAAAAAACAUGAUACUGAAGUUUUGGUUUAAAAAUUACUCUAAACUUCACCAAAUCAGACUGUUUAUUCCACUACACGCUAUAGCAUAAAACAAUUGUUUUACCUUAUGAAUUUCUAAAUUCUGCAUGGCUCAAUGAGGAAAAUUUUACGGUAUAAAAAAUAAUGCCAUUCCCUGCAUUAUCUGAACAGCUUCUUAUGU